CGUUUUAGAAACAUCAGUGGCCAACAGAUCGCCAGAUCGUUGAGCUGCAUUGGCGGGAUUUCGCCGUCUUCGUUUCUCUUUCUUCGCGGACGAACACGCGCUGGGGCUGCAGGCUUGCAGAUCCCUGGUCCUUGACUGGAUAUGCGUUAGGGGCUUGUAGCUCAGUUGGUUAGAGCGCGCGCUUGAUAAGCGUGAGGUCGGAAGUUCAAGUCUUCCCAGGCCCACCACUUUCAUCGAGUGUGCAUUCGUCUUCUGGUUACGGGGCCAUAGCUCAGCUGGGAGAGCGCGUGCUUUGCAAGCAUGAGGUCGUCGGUUCGAUCCCGUCUGGCUCCACCAGAUGGUUUGAUCACCGAGAUCCUGUGCCGUCGUCCGCGAAACAUCACUUCGCACUUGCUAGUCCGGAUGGACAGUAAGCUGCGUGAUUUCUGACAUCGUAAAGAGGAGAUCGAUCCGAGUUGGAUCGUGCGGAGAAUAUCUGCGCGAGACUUCAUUAUCUCCGGAUCAUUUCGGCGCUCGCGCGCCUUUCAGUGUAGCUCACAAGGCUGCGUCUGAGAGAUGAGCGAGUUGUAAAUGAUCCUUUUAGCGAAGCUUGACCGCCUCGCUAUCGGAACGAUCUUACGAAGCAAGCUGGUCUUUCUAGUCAAUGUCCGGCUGCAGAUAGCGUUCAUCGAGGGCGCGUGCCGCAAGGUAAUUCUGCAGACAACAUUCUGCCGAGUGUGUGGACAUUGAUAAUGAGAGCAAUCAAGUGCCUUAAGGGUGUUCGGUG
RNAcentral lists this transfer RNA (766 nucleotides) under Bradyrhizobium liaoningense. RNAcentral describes it as "partial contains 16S-23S ribosomal RNA intergenic spacer and 23S ribosomal RNA". The stretch from base 151 to 224 matches the Rfam family "tRNA". Lineage: Bacteria; Pseudomonadati; Pseudomonadota; Alphaproteobacteria; Hyphomicrobiales; Nitrobacteraceae. The record is from RNAcentral.